UACGUAGGGAGCAAGCGUUGUUCGGAUUUACUGGGCGUAAAGGGCGCGUAGGCGGCAAAUUAAGUCAGCUGUGAAAUCUCCGAGCUUAACUCGGAACGGUCAGCUGAUACUGAUCUGCUAGAGUGCGGAAGGGGCAAUCGGAAUUCUUGGUGUAGCGGUGAAAUGCGUAGAUAUCAAGAGGAACACCUGAGGUGAAGACGGGUUGCUGGGCCGACACUGACGCUGAGUGCGCGAAAGCGUGGGGAGCAAACAGG
RNAcentral lists this ribosomal RNA (254 nucleotides) under uncultured bacterium. RNAcentral's name for it is "partial 16S ribosomal RNA". It matches the Rfam family "Bacterial small subunit ribosomal RNA", at positions 524 to 776 of the family's 1533-position model. The record is from RNAcentral.